Long non-coding RNA from Haplochromis burtoni (Burton's mouthbrooder), 2528 nucleotides. RefSeq lists it as uncharacterized. The transcript is spliced from 4 exons. The record is from RefSeq and is a predicted model, not a curated record. NCBI's taxonomy places the organism in Eukaryota, Metazoa, Chordata, Actinopteri, Cichliformes, Cichlidae.
GACAGAUGAACACAAGGCAGAAAGAACUCAAAUGACAAGUAAUUGCACAAGAGGCCUGGACUAUGCUACCACACAACCUGGCAAAGACUGGAUGUGAGAGCAGUUUGGAUGGAUUACAGGAUCACCAGCCAGAGACUUCCAAGACAACUACUAGGCAUCACCAAAGAAGCAGUUAGUCACACCCACACCCACAUUCACACAGGGAAGAGAAAGAGAGAAGGCAAAUCCACACCUGGAGGACAAGGGGUAACUAUCACAGGUUGAUGCUGCCACGCUGAGGUGUGGUGCAAGGCGACAGAGUGGAAAACACAGACUCAACCUGGGCAGAGCAACCCUGCGGGCGUUUGUCAUUUGGAGGGACUCCAGCCGACAGGUGGCUGCUGUGGUCGACUGCUCCCCAUGCACCUUAUCCAGCAAGAUUAUGGAACAACUAUCAGGCUGAAUUUGGUCUUGUGCGCUGGGCCAGUGGGGACACUUAAUUCAGCCUGCAGUCAGAGGAGAUGAACCCACACUGUGUUCUUGAACAUUCAUUUCCUCGAGGGAAACAGUUCCUGUAGGCUUAACAUGCAGCUGAUGACUCCCUUGAUUACCUGCAGCUCUUUCCACUUCCGUCUUGUUGUUGUCCUGCACUCUCUCUCACUCUCAUUGGUUUCCAUCCUCAUUUGACCCUAUUGAUUUAUCCCGCUCAUUCUCCUUUUCGUAUGUAUUUGCACAGCUAAUCUGCAGUGCAGCUUUGACCUAUUGUCCAAACAAUGAAGUGGAAACGAGCUGCAAUAGCUGAAUGAAAAGCAUGGCAAUUGUGUUUCAAUUGUUCUACGUUAGCGAAAGCAUCCAUGUCAAAAGGUUAGCCAACCAAAAUGCUCGCAGGCCUGUAGACAGCAACACAAAACACUAAGAAAGAAAAAUCAGUAUUUAGAUAUUUAUUCUGUAUAGGUUAGUUUACAAAAAUUAAAGAAGGUUUGUAAUGUUUGGAUGAAGAUUGAUCCAUAAAUAUCUAAUCACUAGCUCUAGUAACCCUGAGCUGUUACAUCUAAACACAAAAGCUCUGUUUCUUUUGUGGGUUUUCAUUCUUCUAGUUUGGUCCACCUGAAGCCACACUGGAGAGGACACUGAAAACAACAUUCAAAAUGAAUAAGACUCUGGAGUUUUUAUUUGAUUUUUUUUUUUUGCUCGUCAGAGAAGGGUAGCUUUUUUCAGCUGUGGUAAUAAAAUGAAAAAUACUUCUGUAAGCUUCUGUAAGGGAAAUUUUUCCUUAGGUGGGCUUACUAAGGGUCUGGUAGAGAUCACUUGACAGAGUCACUCACUAGAGGUGCCUCACAGUUAUAAUAUAAGAAUUUAAUGAUUUAGUGUUCAUCUCCUGGUGCCACAGAGCUAUAGACAUCCAGUUUUGUAAAAGCUUUGGAGAAAGGCCUUGCAUAGUCAACAUGCCUUCACUGAGUUGUAAUCAUUUUUUUUUUACUUUUACUUUUAUUGUCACCAUGCAUGCAAUGUCUUGUAUUCAAAAUGAAUAUAUGGAAUGUAUCUAAGUAGCAGCAAACAUGAUUAGCUUGUACUAUUAUCCGUGUUAUUGGAAUGACUUUGCAGUGACAAAUGGUAGCGAUUCACUCUAUUUUCCAACAACUAUAGGAAUAUUAUCAUUGAACUGGAGUGUCAAGGCUGUGUGAUGAGAAGCACACCUUAGGACUCAGACUUAAAUGUUUUAAUGCAAAUGGGUUUGCUUGUGUGAAUGAUGGUAAGUUCUUGCGGAAGAAAACUAGCAGGUGAUACAAAGACAAUGAAACUGUUAGUUUGGAGUGAAUGGAGCAGACACGGAGAGAUUGGAACAUGAGGAGGGUCUUGCACAAGGAGAAGGUGGAGUUACAACUUGGUGACAUCUUUACACAAGAACCAAGUGCUAGGAAUUAGUCCUGACUGCACUAGUGAUGAAACAACCUGCAAUGGCGUGAGUGGCAGGACUUGGGUUGAUAUAGAGUAGUUAGAUGAUUGAGUUGGGGGUGAUUAGUCGAUUGAGACCAAUCAGGCAGUCAAGUGUGCUAUCCAGAGAACGAUGCCCAAGAGUGUACACAAACACAGACAGAACCCAAGAGGCAAGGCAGGCCAGUAAGGCAGGCAUAGGAAUUAUGACAAAACCUCCACUACAUGCUAUUUCUUUUUUUGUUUUACUCCAACAAUCUGAUAAGACAGUUGUUCUUGUAAUAUUAGACAUUUACUAAAAAUGAUUCAUUCAUCCUCAUGUGAAUUCGAAGCAAAUUCAGCAUAGCCAAGCUCUCUUUGUGUUAGCUGGCUUGACAAAACUGAACACCUGGGUCAAAGAUAACAAGUAUCAAGACAGUGUUUAACAGUUUUUUCUGUUAACCAAAGUGUCUGCUUCAAGCUCUGUGUACUUUCACACAAAGGAGGCCAUUUGACAGGUCAUCAAGUCUUCUAAGCAAAAUGAAUCAACUGAGCACUGCCAGCUGCUAUCAGAAACACUAUCAGGGCAAUGAGUGAAAGAGGACUUAUUAUAUUAAAAUGUUUGUAUUACCUCC